GUCACGAUAGCUCAAGUGGUAGAGCAGUGGCUUAUUGAGCCAAAGGUCGUGGGUUCGAUUCCCGCUCGUGGCA
Non-coding RNA from Cimex lectularius (bed bug), 73 nucleotides. Lineage: Eukaryota; Metazoa; Arthropoda; Insecta; Hemiptera; Cimicidae. The record is from the annotation of a RefSeq genome assembly.